Molecule: long non-coding RNA, 626 nt
Filed under: Zea mays
Lineage: Eukaryota; Viridiplantae; Streptophyta; Magnoliopsida; Poales; Poaceae
Description: long non-coding RNA NONZMAT004311
Source: RNAcentral
GUCAUCCCUCUCGUGUUAACCUCCCAUACCCGCUUGAGCCGGCCACGACGCUGCAACCACCACUGCGGCCCUGCCUAACUGCACGAAUAAAAAAAACUCCGGCAUCUCUCAAUCCUCCGCCACCUCAGCCGAUCUCGAUGCCCACCACUGCGCAGCCCACACGCUCACCAUCGCCGUCGCGUCGUGCCUCGCCUCACCUCACAGCCGUGCGGCCUGGUCGUCGUUGAGCAGGGAGCCAGCGCUAAGCUCGUUGUGCCCGGACUCGACCUCGCCACCAUCACCGCCUCGCCCGGAGCAGCCUUGGCCCACCGCGUCGCGCCAUUGCCUCGUCCGUCGUUGCCAUGGUAAGACGUCUACCUCUCCCCGUGCCCGAUGAGCCCGUGAGCGGUCGAGGCCCACCGGCGAUGCUCUAGCUCCUCCCCUCUGCUGCACGUGCUAGGUGUGGCUAGAGCCCUUCCACCGGCACGGCUCGCCCAGCCCCGGCCCUGCGCUGAACAUGCUCGCUAUCAUGGCUGUCCAGCCUCGACCUCGGCUCCGGCGAGACAUGUGCCGCCCUAGCCGGAGAGCCUGCCUUCCUGUUAGCCGCGGAUGUGAACAGGGUGCAUCCUCGUUUGCCUUGCCUCCUG